This 403-nucleotide ribosomal RNA is filed under the name uncultured bacterium. RNAcentral's name for it is "partial 16S ribosomal RNA". It matches the Rfam family "Bacterial small subunit ribosomal RNA", at positions 28 to 526 of the family's 1533-position model. The record is from RNAcentral.
GACGAACGCUGGCGGCGUGCCUAAUACAUGCAAGUCGAACGCAGUGGGGACGGGUGAUUAACACGUGGGUAACCUCCCAUCAGAGGGGAUAACACUUGGAAACAGGUGCUAAACCGAUACUGAUGGAUGGACCCGCGGUGCAUUAGCUAGUUGGUGAGGUAACGGCUCACCAAGGCCACGAUGCAUAGCCGACCGAGGAGGGUGAGCAGCCACACGGGGACGGAGAAAAGGCCCAGACUCAGAAGGUAGGCAGCAGUGGGGAAUCGUCGGAAAUGGACGAAAGUCUGACCGAGCAACGCCGCGUGAGUGAAGAAGGUUUUCGGAUCGUAAAACUCUGUGGUUAGAGAAGCGGUAUCUAACCAGAAAGCCACGGCUAACUACGUGCCAGCAGCCGCGGUAAGUC